UUACGGCCAUGUCACCUUGAAACACUGGUUCUUGUACGAUUACCGAAGUUAAGCAAUGUCGAGUCUGAUCAGUAUUUUGUUGGAUGACCGCUUGGGAAUACCAGGUGCUGUAAG
Molecule: non-coding RNA, 114 nt
Organism: Acanthosepion pharaonis
Lineage: Eukaryota; Metazoa; Mollusca; Cephalopoda; Sepiida; Sepiidae
Source: the annotation of a GenBank genome assembly